GGGCCGGGCUGGAGCGAGCGCGUGGAGUCACAGAUCCCCAGAGCACGAGGUUUCUGUGGGCACAUCGAGUCACAGAGCCCCAGAGCCCGAGGUUUUUAUGGGCACACCGCUUGCAGCCCAGCGUCCCUGCAGGGCCGGCAGCUCUGUCUCGUGCUAGUGACACCGACAGGGCUUUGGUCAGGUGAAGGCUGGUGCUGUGUGACAGCGGGACUGUCCAGCCUCGGCAGCUACCGCCACACCUCUCCCUGCCACUGUUAAAGCACGGAUGCUACUGUGAGUGAACAUUAAACAUUUAUUAAGGGCUCCACAGAGAGCAGAGGGAAUGUUGUACUACACGAUGCAAAUAUGACACGCCUGCUGUGCCAUUUGUUGAGUGGUCUUUGUGCUCUUUCUCCCUCUACAAGACACCACAGCUUCCCUUAUCACCUGGUGGGAAUCACGGAAUAACGGGAUAGGGUCAGGCUGAGCGGGCCCACAGAGGCUCAUCUGGUCCCACCUCCCUGCUCCAGCAGGGCCAUCCCAGAGUACAGGCACAGGAUUGUAUCCAGAGGACUCUGGAAUAUCCCCUGUAAGUACAGUCCACACCUUUCUGGGCAAUCUGUUCAGGGCUGGGCCACUGCCCUGGGAAGAAGUUCUGGCUCCUGUGCAGGGGGAACUUCUUGGGAUCAGUUCCUGCCCGUUCCUCUGAUGCCAUUGCUGGCCCCCCAGAGCAGAGCUGGCUCUGCACAGAGCUCUCCCUGUAGACAGGGACAGGCAGGGAUGAGGUCCCCUUUCGAGGCUGAACAGCCCCAGCUCAGCCUUUAAGGCGGGUAGCGGUGAAAUGAAAUGGAGCAUGGGGCUUUCUAGGUAAAACUGCUUUAUUUGGAACACGGCAGAAGCUACUUUGCAACCCUCCCAGCGCUCCCACCUUCUGGCCAGCCUCAUGAAAAAGCCACAUGUUCUCUGGCAAAUGUAAAAAUCCAUAACAACUCACUCCAUUGAUCUACUUUCAUCUGCUUAAUGAGAGGAAAGAUGUGUGCUAAUGUCUUUACAAACAAUUGGAUGGGUGAAGGAAUGGGUAUUAAUGUCUCUACUGACUUUGGGGGACAGGUUCCUUACAGUUUGGGCUCCUGGAACAAGGGUCUGCACAAGACUGAACUUCUGAAUUUUGGGGUAAAAUGCCAGGUUCAAGGCGGGAAUAUGGAGUAAGUGGUUUGGGAAGGCUGUACCUUGCUAGCAGCUCAGCCAAUGGGGAAAGGAAGAGGACAACACACGGCCAUGGGUUUAGGAUAAAAGGGAGGCUGCACCCCUGAAACCUCGGGAGAGAAAAGCCCGUGGGCGUGUGUCCUGAUAGACCCUCUCCCGUUAUUUGAAUGAAGUUGAAGGACUCCUCUGACUCCUAUUUGGACAUAAACCUCUGGCGUUUGUGAAUUUUCCUGACAUUAACUUUCUAAGUAAUGUGUUAGGUAGCUGUAUUAUUGUAAUUUAAUUAGAAGCUGGGCAGAACUCAUAAUGCUUUUUGUCUUGGACUGUCUAAAUUGCUUUGUUUUUCUUUUGAGUAAGUGAAUGAAGAUGCAAUUAUGAAAUUGUAACAUCGUGAAAUAGAUAAUUCACUAGAUUAUUAGACUGAAGGAGAGUGUGCUGCUGGUUGAGUUAAUAAUAGCUUAUGUUCUGUUUUACAAAGUAUACAAUGCAGGAGGUUAUGUGCAUUCUCUGUAAAGCUGAUUUAGCCAAGUGUAA
Long non-coding RNA from Taeniopygia guttata (zebra finch), 1719 nucleotides. The record is from Ensembl. Lineage: Eukaryota; Metazoa; Chordata; Aves; Passeriformes; Estrildidae.